GGUUGGGUGAAAACUUCAAGAUUGGUUAGUCGGGGAACUAACC
Molecule: non-coding RNA, 43 nt
Filed under: Leuconostoc pseudomesenteroides KCTC 3652
Lineage: Bacteria; Bacillati; Bacillota; Bacilli; Lactobacillales; Lactobacillaceae
Source: RNAcentral